Molecule: non-coding RNA, 2240 nt
Organism: Aegilops tauschii subsp. strangulata
Lineage: Eukaryota; Viridiplantae; Streptophyta; Magnoliopsida; Poales; Poaceae
Source: RefSeq, a predicted model, not a curated record
UUCCUACAACAUUUUUGGUGUUUGUCUUGGUGCGACAUGUUUGUACUGAAUAUUUUUCUUUCUUAUGCUGUUUAGGAAAGAAGAGCAAGGAAUAGCAAGAGGCUAAGGAGGCUGCAAGACCUCGUGCCCAAUAUGGACAAGUUAUUCUUUUACCACAACCACUGCACUCUUCGGUUGGCAGAAUCAAGGAAAAGAUAUCUCAUGAAAAUCUAGUAGGAAGUGAUGAAUCGAACAAGGAGGAAGGGUAACACAAUGACGUGUUUGGUCUUCAGCCAUUUCUUUACUAAGAAACUAAGAGAGCCGAAGGUGGAGCGGCGACGAGAGCUGGCCAUUUGUUAACAGUCGCAGACACGCGUGUACCCUGCUCGCUGGCCGUUGCAAACUGAACGGCUACAUGCAUUAAACGGCCAUACACAAAGCUAGCUUACACAGUAAGCGGAGGAGUUGAACUAGGUUGAGCUGCUGCUUCAUAUGGCCUGGAACGCCAGGCCGUCUUCUGUGUUGUCGUCGCGGGCACCACGGGACCGUCUUGGUCUUCUUCCGUGUCACCAUCGAGAGGUAGCAGGAAAUGUGUGUCGAGAGGCACAUGAAUACGCCCGUGGAUUGUUUUUCAGCGUGCUCAGUUUUAAAAAACGAGUUAUGUGGUUCUUUUCUUAAUACAGAGAAAAAAAUGAUAAUUUUGCAAGUGCUACAGUAUUAAGAUCACUGUUUUUAAUACUGUAAUUUAAACCACAGUUUUUAGUGGUAGCCAAACAGCUCACUGUAAUUAAAACUUUGUUAAUCUAAAAAACUGUGUUAUUUUCAAAAUACAUAGAAAGUACUUUGCUAUCAAACAGGGCUACAAGUGCAGAUUUCCUUGAAGAUAGUAUAUUUUAUAAUUGUAUUGCCAACAUGCUUCCAUAGUUUUAUCACCACAAACUAAUUCUAGCUGCUUCCAUAGUAAGGUAACAAUAAUCUGUGUUAUAGCAGAAUAUAGAUGUAGUGUGCUUGUCUGAAUAUAAUGCAGAGUUUAGAAAUGAACUAAAAUCUGAGAGCAGGAAGUAAUAGGCUUAUUUUCCAGUUAGAAAAAUAUAUGUACUGUAGCAUCAUGUAUUCAGGUAAUCCCUUGUAUUUUUUUGCCAGGUUCAUGUUUUAUAUAUUGUCUAUACACCACAUAAACUAAAGUUUGUAGUGUCAGCAGUAAACAGGGGCACACCUUAGUAUGGGUAGAAAAAUAAGAGCUUGUGAAAAGAAUAGUAUCUCUAUUACAGGACAAGAAUGACUCUUUAGUUUUAUGCUGAUGUGUGAAAGCACCCCAUUAUCAUGCAAAUAGUACCAGGUUUAGAGCCUUGAUUAUGGCGGCUAUAAACCCAAAACAAUCCAUCUUAUUAUUUAGUAUACAAAGCACGUUCUGGUGGGAAUGACUCCAAUUAGAAUUCUAGCUGCUGGCAUAUAUCUGAUUGGUCCCGGAUUGAAAAUCUCAAUUGUCAGGACUUGCUUGUAUGCAUUCCUAAAUAGUGUAAAACUGAAGCUUGCUGCUCGUGAGGUGUCAGCCAUAAACAUGUAUUAUGACCAUUGUUUAUCCGGUGAAGUGCCUAAAAUAUAGAGUUACAGUAGGGUUUUUACCCUACCGUGUUUGCUAAAAAAAAGUGCCUAAAAUUCAGUGACCAUAGCUUUCCACUUUAGCUCAUAAACUGGAUGGCAAAAUAGAGUUUGCCCAUUUCAUAUCUAUGUUGUCUUAUUAGGAAAAUAGAGUUUGUUUUAUAGCUGAUGCUUAAUAUGUUUCAUCGACUGGUAUGCUCUAACUUUAGCUCAUAAACUGGAUGGCAAAUGCUAAUUCUAAUGGGGCUUUUGCCACUUAUUGUUUUAUGGUUGUCUAGACAGCUGAUGGCAUGCUUCUUUUUGCGAAUUGUCAAUUCUUUUGUACAGGGUCCCUCGGCUACUUAUGCUCUGCCAGACAAUGAGAGUAUGUAGAUAGCAUGUAUGGUUUUUACAUUGCUUUGCGCAGGUUGAGAUGCAUCACAUGAUGUUUUCCUUUUACAUUUAUGAGUAUUAUAGAGUCCUUUCUUUUUCCACAAGGGGCAGUAGCUAUGCCAUUUGAUUCGAAGGACAAAGAGUUGAUCACAAAGGGGUAGCAUUCAGAAUAUAUACACAAAAGAUUAUAGAACCAAAUUAUAUGAUGUAAUUGACUACUAUUUCUAUUAACUUCUCUUGUACACAAUGUUCACGAGUUCAUGUAUUAAGUACAUUUUAUUGUGUCA